AGCGAACGCUGGCGGCAGGCCUAACACAUGCAAGUCGAGCGCCCCGCAAGGGGAGCGGCAGACGGGAGAGUAACACGUGGGAACGUACCCUUCAGUUCGGAACAAGCAAGGGAAACUUUGGCUAAUACCGAAUACGUCCGUAAGGAGAAAGAUUUAUAGCUGAAGGAUCGGCCAGCGUCUGGUUAGCUAGGUGGUAGCGUAACGGCCCACCAAGGCGACGAUCAGUAGCUGGUCUGAGAGGAUGAUAAGCCUCACUGGGACUGAGACACGGCCCAGAAUCCUACGGGAGGCAGCAGUGGGGAAUAUUUGACAAUUGGCGCAAGCCUGAUCCAGCCAUGCCGCGUGGAUGAUGAAGGCCCUAGGGUUGUAAAGUCCUUUCGGCGGGGAAGAUAAUGACGGUACCCGCAGAAGAAGCCCCGGCUAACUUCGUGCCAGCAGCCGCAGUAA
RNAcentral lists this ribosomal RNA (447 nucleotides) under uncultured bacterium. Its description in RNAcentral is "partial 16S ribosomal RNA". It matches the Rfam family "Bacterial small subunit ribosomal RNA", at positions 29 to 523 of the family's 1533-position model. The record is from RNAcentral.